This is a non-coding RNA of Acanthosepion pharaonis, 114 nucleotides long. Lineage: Eukaryota; Metazoa; Mollusca; Cephalopoda; Sepiida; Sepiidae. The record is from the annotation of a GenBank genome assembly.
UUACGGCCAUAUCAUGUUGAAACAUUCGUCCCCGUACGAUCAUCGAAGUUAAGCAACUUCGAGUCUGGUAAGUACCAAGAUGGGUCAGCGCUUGCGAAUAACAAUUGCUGUAAG